Molecule: ribosomal RNA, 216 nt
Filed under: uncultured Paraglomus
Lineage: Eukaryota; Fungi; Glomeromycota; Glomeromycetes; Paraglomerales; Paraglomeraceae
Description: partial small subunit ribosomal RNA
Rfam family: Eukaryotic small subunit ribosomal RNA
Source: RNAcentral
AGCAGCCGCGGUAAUUCCAGCUCCAAUAGCGUAUAUUAAAGUUGUUGCAGUUAAAAAGCUCGUAGUUGAACCUUAGGCCCGUGCGGGUGGUCCGUCCUCUGGGCGAGCACUGCCUCGUCGCGGGUCUCACCUUCUGGCGAGCGUGGAUGCCAUUCACUUGGUGUCUGCGGGAACCAGGACCUUUACCUUGAAAAAAUUAGAGUGCUCAAAGCGGGC